Long non-coding RNA from Myxocyprinus asiaticus (Chinese sucker), 275 nucleotides. RefSeq lists it as uncharacterized. The transcript is spliced from 3 exons. NCBI's taxonomy places the organism in Eukaryota, Metazoa, Chordata, Actinopteri, Cypriniformes, Catostomidae. The record is from RefSeq and is a predicted model, not a curated record.
GGAGGAACUCCUCAACAGAGCCAUAUCACAGCACAUCACUGAAUGACCUCCAGAGGAGCAGUUCACAGCUCCUUUCCCUGAGGUGAAUGCACUGCCAGCUGGGAGGGACAGUGGAGAGGCUCCCUCAAGGGUUUCAGAGGCAUCACUGGCUGAACUCCAACAACGAGUGAGCGCCGAUCACUGCACGCAUUCCACGGAAGCUUCACGAAACACCGGAUUCACGAACACAGACACCCCGGCACGCUCACCCCGCCAUUGCACCGAAGACACCACGC